This 954-nucleotide non-coding RNA is filed under the name Ochetobius elongatus. RNAcentral describes it as "12S ribosomal RNA". It matches the Rfam family "Bacterial small subunit ribosomal RNA". The record is from RNAcentral. Lineage: Eukaryota; Metazoa; Chordata; Actinopteri; Cypriniformes; Xenocyprididae.
UAAAGGUCUGGUCCUGACCUUAUUAUCAGCUCUUGCCCAACUUACACAUGCAAGUCUCCGCAAUCCCGUGAGUAUGCCCUUAAUCCCCCGCCCGGACGAGGAGCGGGCAUCAGGCACAAAUUUUUAGCCCAAGACGCCUGGCCAAGCCACACCCCCAAGGAAUUCAGCAGUGAUAAACAUUAAGCCAUAAGUGAAAACUUGACUCAGUUAGGGCUAAGAGGGCCGGUAAAACUCGUGCCAGCCACCGCGGUUAAACGAGAGGCCCUAGUUGAUAACACCACGGCGUAAAGGGUGGUUAAGGAAAGCAAAAUAAUUUUUUAAAGCCAAAUGGCCCUUUGCGGUCAUACGCUUCUAGGUGUCCGAAGCCCAAUCACACGAAAGUAGCUUUAUUAAAGCCCACCUGACCCCACGAAAGCUGAGAAAACAAACUGGGAUUAGAUACCCCACUAUGCUUAGCCAUAAACCUAGACAUCCAACUACAAUUAGACGUCCGCCCGGGGACUACGAGCAUCAGCUUGAAACCCAAAGGACCUGACGGUGCCUUAGACCCCCCUAGAGGAGCCUGUUCUAGAACCGAUAACCCCCGUUAAACCUCACCACUUCUAGCCAUCCCAGCCUAUAUACCGCCGUCGUCAGCUUACCCUGUGAAGGUAAUAAAAGUAAGCAAAAUGGGCACAGCCCAGAACGUCAGGUCGAGGUGUAGCGUACGAAGUGGGAAGAAAUGGGCUACAUUUUCUAUCACAGAACAUUACGAACAUGCAACAUGAAAUAGUGCUUGAAGGAGGAUUUAGUAGUAAAAAGGAAACAGAGUGUCCUUUUGAACCCGGCUCUGAGGCGCGUACACACCGCCCGUCACUCUCCCCUGUCAAAACGCAACAAAAAUACUUAAUACUAAAGCACUGACAAGGGGAGGCAAGUCGUAACAUGGUAAGUGUACCGGAAGGUGCACUUGGA